GUCAGCAAGAAUGUACUCCAUCCAUUUCAAAUUAUGGAUCAUUUUAAUUUUUUUAAUCCAUUAAUUUUGUUAUGCAUCUAGAUGUGCAUUAUGUUUAAAUACAUAGCAAACAAUACGUAUGAAGAACCAAAACAACUUGUAAUUUGGAACGGAGGAAGUAUGAGAUAAAGUUGAACCACUCUUGCCACAUGGUGCAAUGUUAUUAAGUAGGGAGAAUAAUAUGAAAACAGGGGAGGAGGACAAUAUACUUACUCUUGCCAGAUGGAGCUUGCUUAUGCCCGUAGUUAAAAGACCUCAUGGAGUUCAGCCGUUGUUGAUGCCGCACUUGAAAUGUAACUGAACACUCAAACUAACUUUCACGCCUCAGUUAGUUAGGAUCUCAUUCUCCCCCUCUCAUUUUUUGGCUUUUCUAGAUAAAUAGCUUUUGUUGUACAGAUAUAUACUAUUUCUAUAUAUUUUUUUGAGGAAGCAGGAGGGGCAAGCCCCUACUGAAAUAAAUUAACAAAAUAAAGGUUUACAUGAAAUAAAAGGAGACGAGAAAAGACAAAAAAGAAAACGAAAAACAGGAUAGAGAUAAAUUACAAGGCAUUUAGCCACUCCUUCAUAGCUAGGACUACAGAGGGUUUAGCUCUAUGGAGACAAACAGUAAGCAAUUCAGAGAACACCUUUCGUCUUACUGCUUGCAUCGAUGGAGGAAUAUUAUUGAAGUUCCAAUCAUUUCUGACGGACCAGAUGCUCCAAG
This 742-nucleotide long non-coding RNA is filed under the name Setaria viridis. RNAcentral describes it as "long non-coding RNA (SVIR_LNC008627)". The record is from RNAcentral. Lineage: Eukaryota; Viridiplantae; Streptophyta; Magnoliopsida; Poales; Poaceae.